UAAUAUUUAAUAAAUGCAAAGAGAAUUCAUACUUUAAAAAUAUAAAUUGUUAAAAUCAUUUUUUAAAUACGAAAGAAAAAAUAUGGUAAAAAUUGUCAAAUUUGUUUACAUUAUAAUUAUCUUCAUUUCUUUAUUACCGGUGCCAUCCAACUGUGGAAGAAGAAUUGCUAAAUGUGUAAAGGAUGAUAAUUGUUACAAUAUGCAUUAUUUGUGCCUGCCACCAAAAGUAAUGAAGUGUGUCAAGAGACUUUGCACGUGUGCUAGUGUGACCGCUCUCAUCUAUUAUGUUCCCGAAUAGUUCUGUAUUAGUUUCUUAUCUAAGCCUAUAAUUUUAUAAUCAUGCUAUAUAAUCAAUACACUUAUCAUCUAUCCCACCAUCAAUUCAUAUUUCUCUUAGAUUUUAAUUUUAUAUUAAUCUCAUAAAUGUCAUUCAAUUUAAAAAAAUAUAUAUAAAAAAUAAAAUUUUCAA
Vicia villosa (hairy vetch) is the source of this 469-nucleotide long non-coding RNA. RefSeq lists it as uncharacterized. The transcript has 2 exons. NCBI's taxonomy places the organism in Eukaryota, Viridiplantae, Streptophyta, Magnoliopsida, Fabales, Fabaceae. The record is from RefSeq and is a predicted model, not a curated record.